This 250-nucleotide ribosomal RNA is filed under the name uncultured bacterium. Its description in RNAcentral is "partial 16S ribosomal RNA". It matches the Rfam family "Bacterial small subunit ribosomal RNA", at positions 804 to 1058 of the family's 1533-position model. The record is from RNAcentral.
AAACGAUGAUAACUCGAUGUUGGCGAUACACAGUCAGCGUCCCAGCGAAAGCGUUAAGUUAUCCACCUGGGGAGUACGCCCGCAAGGGUGAAACUCAAAGGAAUUGACGGGGGCCCGCACAAGCGGAGGAGCAUGUGGUUUAAUUCGAUGAUACGCGAGGAACCUUACCCGGGCUUGAAAGUUAGUGACGGAUGCAGAGACGCAUCCUUCCUUCGGGACACGAAACUAGGUGCUGCAUGGCUGUCGUCAG